UAAGCGGGUAGUGAAAUCUUGUGGCUCAACCACAAGGCUAUUACCUGAACUGACAAGCUUGAGUAUGGUAGAGGUCACUGGAAUUCCAAGUGUAGGAGUGAAAUCCGUAGAUAUUUGGAGGAACACCGAUGGCGUAGGCAGGUGACUGGACCAUAACUGACACUAAGGCACGAAAGCGUGGGUAGCAAACGGGAUUAGAUACCCCGGUAGUCCACGCCCUAAACGAUGGAUGCUA
This 235-nucleotide ribosomal RNA is filed under the name uncultured Candidatus Saccharibacteria bacterium. RNAcentral describes it as "partial 16S ribosomal RNA". It matches the Rfam family "Bacterial small subunit ribosomal RNA", at positions 584 to 818 of the family's 1533-position model. The record is from RNAcentral. Lineage: Bacteria; Candidatus Saccharimonadota.